GUGGGGAAUAUUGGGCAAUGGGCGAAAGCCUGACCCAGCAACGCCGCGUGAAGGAAGAAGGUUUUCGGAUUGUAAACUUCUGUCCUCAGGGAAGAAGGAAGUGACGGUACCUGAGGAGGAAGCCCCGGCUAACUACGUGCCAGCAGCCGCGGUAAUACGUAGGGGGCGAGCGUUGUCCGGAAUGACUGGGCGUAAAGGGCGCGUAGACGGCUGUCUAAGUCUGGAGUGAAAGUCCUGCUUUCAAGGUGGGAAUUGCUUUGGAGACUGGAUGGCUUGAGUGCGGAAGAGGUAAGUGGAAUUCCCAGUGUAGCGGUGGAAUGCUCAGAUACUAGGAGGAACACCAGUGGCGAAGGCGGCUUCCUGGCCUGUACCUGACGCUGAUAGGCGAAAGCUAGGGAAGCGAACGGGAUUAGAAACCCUUGUAGUCC
RNAcentral lists this ribosomal RNA (428 nucleotides) under uncultured bacterium. Its description in RNAcentral is "partial 16S ribosomal RNA". It matches the Rfam family "Bacterial small subunit ribosomal RNA", at positions 354 to 796 of the family's 1533-position model. The record is from RNAcentral.